This 253-nucleotide ribosomal RNA is filed under the name uncultured bacterium. RNAcentral's name for it is "partial 16S ribosomal RNA". It matches the Rfam family "Bacterial small subunit ribosomal RNA", at positions 524 to 776 of the family's 1533-position model. The record is from RNAcentral.
UACGAAGGGGGCUAGCGUUGCUCGGAAUCACUGGGCGUAAAGGGCGCGUAGGCGGCCAUUCAAGUCGGAGGUGAAAGCCCAGGGCUCAACCCUGGAAUUGCCUUCGAUACUGUCUGGCUAGAGACCGGAAGAGGUAAGUGGAACUGCGAGUGUAGAGGUGAAAUUCGUAGAUAUUCGCAAGAACACCAAUUGCGAAGGCAGCUUACUACACAAAUAUUGACGCUGAGGCACGAAAGCGUGGGGAUCAAACAGG